Molecule: long non-coding RNA, 2576 nt
Filed under: Callithrix jacchus (white-tufted-ear marmoset)
Lineage: Eukaryota; Metazoa; Chordata; Mammalia; Primates; Cebidae
Description: lncRNA (ENSCJAG00000082011.1)
Source: RNAcentral
AUGUUUAAAUUAUUUGUUUUUAAAUCUCCCUUUGUCCUUUCAGGGGGCUUUCAGGAGACAGGAAAGCUAACUGCACCAGUCUGCCAUCUUAAAUCUGAACCGAAUCUGCAUUUCUAUAGGUCACUCCGGUGGAGGAUCUGUACUGCAGUUAGGAGAGAGAAUGGAGACACUCGCAGUUUCAAAAGUGCCAUUCCUUCCAGAAACACUGACACCUUAAGCUGUGUAACCCGGGACCUCUGGAGGGUCCCCAAGUCUCGGAGGAUAAGCAAUCCUGGAGGGGGCCUCGCAUUGAAAACAGCCUGAUGUUCUCAGUCACUGCUUGCAAAACAGCUGCCCUAGGGAAACACCUGGACCUGCCAAAGACCUUGCAAGAAAGAUAAGUAAAGUUCUCUUGUAUUAAGUCACUGAGACUUUGGGAUUGUUUGUUCCUGUAGCCUAUCCCUUCCUGACAAACAAGAGAUUUGAGAAACAAACCGGCCAGGCGCGGUGGCUCAAGCCUGUAAUCCCAGCACUUUGGGAGGCCGAGGCGGGUGGAUCACGAGGUCAAGAGAUCGAGACCAUCCCAGUCAGCAUGGUGAAACCCCAUCUCUACUAAAAAUAUUUAAAAAAAUUAGCUGGGCAUGGUGGUGCAUGCCUGUAAUCUUAGCUACUCGGGAGGCUGAGGCGGGAGAAUUGCCUGAACCCAGGAGGCAGAGGUUGUGGUGAGCCAAGAUCGCGCCAUCGCACUCCAGCCUGGGUAACAAGAGCGAAACUCUGUCUCAAAAAUAAAGAAAGAAAGAAAAAAGAAAAACAAACCACCCCACUACUUGUGUAGACAAGGGUAACUUUGAGUCAUAAAGAGGUUGACUCCAGUAGUGGUCUUGAUCCAGUGUUCCCAAACUGACUGUGUCCUGAUAAACAUAUCUGUGUAUAAGAUAGAGAAGCCCAAUCCAGAGUCACCAAUUUAGGCACCUAAGGCUGUUACACACUCUUACUCAAGCUUGGCACAGAGAAAGUGAGGUUUCCUUCACAUGGAGGAUCAUUGGUAUCUGUGCUGGAAGCUGGACUAGCCAAAAUUCACAGCAGGAGUGACCAGUCAUCUACUGGAGUAGGCGGGAUGAGUAUGAACAGUGUAGCCAAUUCACAUCAACAUUCUUGAGUUGACAUGCGGACAGCUGAGCUUCUCCAAUAUAAAGACAUGUUUCUUAUUUUGUUUCAAUCCUCGAAAGAUUAAAAAAUCCAAAUCGUUUCCAUCUUAGAGGGCUGGCAACGACUGUUAUCACCAUGUUCCCGCUGACAGCUUGCACAUUGUUUUCAGGACUUUGAAGGUCCUGGAAUUAACCAGACUUCAAAGACCACCAAGGAGCAGCCCGGGCUCUCAAGAACUGCAGGAGAAAAGCUGGUCUUCAGAGGGUCUGAAAGUCCCAGAUCACGUCCUGCCUUUCCACAGUGCAGGAGAAUAAUAGCUUUUAGUCUGUUCAGAAGCAGAUUAACUCUGGAACCUGUAAUUUUGUCCAAAAAAAUUUUACUGAAUGCCUGUUGUGAUGUAGACAGUAUUCUCGGUGUUGAGAAUUUAGCAUUGACCAAAGACAUAAUCCCUGAUAUUGUGGAACUUAUUUUCUGGGGUUGGGGAGACACAUAAAAUAAACAGAUGAACAAAUGUACAUAUCAAUUAAUGUUAGAUUGUACCAAGUAUCAUAAAGACCAUAAAAAGGUGGUGUCAUAGACAUGUAGUUGAGUUAGGGAUGACUGCUUGGAUUGAGUGGUCAGGAAAAGCCUCUUGGAGCAGGUAACUUUGGAACUGAGCCUAAAUUAUAAUAGUAAUAGCUAACAAUGAUUAAGGCCUUUCUUUGUGCCAAGAAAUGUUCAAAGCAUUUUACACGUAUGGCUAUUUUUAAUCCUCAAUAACUCCAUGAAAUCAGUAUUAUAAUCUCCAUUUUACUGAUGAAGAAACUGAGGCAGAGAAGGGCUUGGUUACAAACCUAACAUCACACAGCUAGGAAAAGGAGGAGGCAGCCUUCUAACCCAAGCAGCCAGGCUCCAGCAUCCGCUCUUAUACAUUAUACAACACUGUUUCUUAACAAAUGCCGUGUGCGUGUGUGUGUGUGUGUGUGUGUGUGUGUGUGUGUGUGUGUGUCUUCUGUCUGGGCAUGGUGGCUCAUGCCUGUACUCCCAGGACUUUAGGAAGUUGAGAUGGGUAGAUCACUAGAGCUCAGGAGUUCAAGACCAGCCUGGGCAAGAUGGCAAAACUCUGUCUCUACAAAAAAUACAAAAAAAAAAAAAAUUAGCCUGCCAUGGUGGUGUGCACCUGUGGUCCCAGCUACUUGGGAGGCUGAGGUGGGAGGAUCACUUGAGCUCAGGAGGUCAAGGCUGCAGUGAGCCAAGAUUGUGCCACUGCACUUUAACCUAGGUGACAGAGGGAGAUCCUGUCUCCAAAAAAUAUAUAUGUGUGUGUGUGUGUGUAUGUGUGUGUGUAUAUAUGUGUGUGUGUGUAUUAUUUUAUUUAUAUUUUACUGAGAUUUCAGUAAAAACUCCAGGGCCAAGGCCAAGGGUAGAGCAAGUUAAAAGUUCCUGUUUAGAAAGCAGACCUCUGGCCC